This 391-nucleotide ribosomal RNA is filed under the name uncultured bacterium. RNAcentral describes it as "partial 16S ribosomal RNA". It matches the Rfam family "Bacterial small subunit ribosomal RNA", at positions 523 to 918 of the family's 1533-position model. The record is from RNAcentral.
AUACGUAGGGGGCAAGCGUUAUCCGGAAUUACUGGGCGUAAAGGGUGCGUAGGUGGCCUGACAAGUCAGGGGUCAAAGGCAACGGCUCAACCGUUGUAAGCCCUUGAAACUGUCGGGCUUGAGUUCGGGAGAGGAAAGCGGAAUUCCUAGUGUAGCGGUGAAAUGCGUAGAUAUUAGGAGGAACACCAGUGGCGAAGGCGGCUUUCUGGACUGAUACUGACACUGAGGCACGAAAGCGUGGGGAGCAAACAGGAUUAGAUACCCUGGUAGUCCACGCCGUAAACGAUGAGUACUAGGUGUCGGCCCUAAGGGUCGGUGCCGCAGUUAACACAUUAAGUACUCCGCCUGGGAAGUACGCUCGCAAGAGUGAAACUCAAAUGAAUUGACGGGG